AUUCGAUGAUACGCGAGGNACCUUACCAGGGCUUGAAAGUUAGUGAAGAAUGUGGAAACAUGUUCGUCAGCAAUGACACGAAACUAGGUGCUGCAUGGCUGUCGUCAGCUCGUGCCGUGAGGUGUUGGGUUAAGUCCCGCAACGAGCGCAACCCCCAUCUUUAGUUGCUAGCAGGUAAUGCUGAGGACUCUAAAGAAACUGCCUACGCAAGUAGCGAGGAAGGCGGGGACGACGUCAAGUCAUCACGGCCCUUACGUCCUGGGCCACACACGUGCUACAAUGGUAGGUACAGAGGGCAGCUACCGGGUGACCGGAUGCGAAUCUCUAAAGCCUAUCUCAGUUCGGAUUGGAGUCUGCAACUCGACUCUAUGAAGCUGGAAUCGCUAGUAAUCGCGCAUCAGCCAUGGCGCGGUGAAUACGUUCCCGGGCCUUGUACACACCGCCCGUCAAACAAUGGAAGCUGGGGGUGCCUGAAGUCGGUAACCGCAAG
Molecule: ribosomal RNA, 490 nt
Filed under: uncultured bacterium
Lineage: Bacteria
Description: bacterial SSU rRNA
Rfam family: Bacterial small subunit ribosomal RNA
Source: RNAcentral